AUUGAACGCUGGCGGCAGGCCUAACACAUGCAAGUCGAGCGGAUGAAGGGAGCUUGCUCCUGGAUUCAGCGGCGGACGGGUGAGUAAUGCCUAGGAAUCUGCCUGGUAGUGGGGGAUAACGUCCGGAAACGGGCGCUAAUACCGCAUACGUCCUGAGGGAGAAAGUGGGGGAUCUUCGGACCUCACGCUAUCAGAUGAGCCUAGGUCGGAUUAGCUGGUUGGUGGGGUAAAGGCCUACCAAGGCGACGAUCCGUAACUGGUCUGAGAGGAUGAUCAGUCACACUGGAACUGAGACACGGUCCAGACUCCUACGGGAGGCAGCAGUGGGGGAUAUUGGACAAUGGGCGAAAGCCUGAUCCAGCCAUGCCGCGUGUGUGAAGAAGGUCUUCGGAUUGUAAAGCACUUUAAGUUGGGAGGAAGGGCAGUAAGUUAAUACCUUGCUGUUUUGACGUUACCAACAGAAUAAGCACCGGCUAACUUCGUG
Molecule: ribosomal RNA, 484 nt
Filed under: uncultured bacterium
Lineage: Bacteria
Description: partial 16S ribosomal RNA
Rfam family: Bacterial small subunit ribosomal RNA
Source: RNAcentral